This is an RNA transcript of Myotis davidii, 507 nucleotides long. It is a transcript of the gene named 60S ribosomal protein L32 pseudogene, with no coding region annotated. The transcript has a single exon. NCBI's taxonomy places the organism in Eukaryota, Metazoa, Chordata, Mammalia, Chiroptera, Vespertilionidae. The record is from RefSeq and is a predicted model, not a curated record.
UCGGCGCUGCCUGCGGAGGUGGCAGCCAUCUCCUACUCGGCAUCAUGGCUGCCCUCAGACCCCUGGUGAAACCCAAGAUGGUCAGAAAGAGGACCGAGAAGUUCAUCCAGCACCAGUCAGACCGGUAUGUCAACAUUAAGCGGAACUGGCAGUAACCCAGAGGCACUGACAAUAGGGUGCGUAGAAGAUUCAAGGGCCAGACCUUGAUGCCCAACACAGGUUAUGGGAGCAACAAGAAAACAAAGCACAUGCUGCCCAGUGGCUUUCGGGAAUUUCUGGUCCAUAACGUCAAGGAGCUUGAAGUGCUGCUGAUGAGCAAUAAAUCUCACUGUGCUGAGACUGCUCACAGCGUCUCCUCAAAGAACCGUGAAGCCAUUGUGGAAAGAGCAGCCCAGCUGGCCAUCAGAGUCACCAAUCCCAAUGCCAGGCUGCACAGCGAAGAAAACGAAUAGACAGAUUGUGGACACGUUGUAUUUGUGUUACUAAAAUCAUAAAAUUCUGCCAUCU